CCGAUCGAUCGACUGUGUGCUGUCGAGCAGAUCUUCUUUGGUCUGAGGUGCGCAGGAUACCUUAGACGGCAGCGUUUGAAUAGAGGUGUAAAAGAGUAGUGUAUUGUUAGGUUAGAGGGGAUUCUGUGCGGCGGCGACGGCGGUCCUAGGAGGGGGACGCGUAGAGGGCGUGUGGGGUAGUGGAGACGUACGGCCGCCUAGAGCGCGAGGUGGCCGCCGGCGGCAGCGAGGUCGUGGCUGCCCGUGAGAGCCGGGAAAAAAAGAAGACCAAAAAGUCUAGUCUAGCCGAGACAGUGAGGAGGGCGAGCUCCGGCGGCAGCGUUCGAGCUCGUGGUGGAAGCGACGGGGGAGGGGGAGGUUUAGUCUGUGCCCAGCCAGAGCGCGCGCUCGUGCCGCAGCGGGUGCCGGGCGUCGGGGCCUCGUUGUACAGCUGCGAGCGUGAAGCGUCCUUGGUCCUCGGGGUGCUGACGAAGGGAAAGAAAUCGAGCGACGGCUCGCAGAGGCCGGUUCGGCGCGCGGCUCUCUGCCGGUACCGGCGGGCUACGGGCUCGCGGUGGCCGGUUCCUGGGCGGCCGCAGGUCUGGGGGAGGUGCGGUAGGGGUAGAGCGACCUCUGGACGUGGUUUAGGGUAGGUCGUGGCGCGGUGGGAAGCCAGGGGCGGGGCGUCAAGACGUCGGACUCGCGAAGUCGGCGGAGCGCGAGCUUCGUCUCCUCUCCUCGAGGGACGGUGCUCGGAGAAGUCGUGGCCGUUUGGUCAUCCGGCUGGGGAAGGAACCGAGGACGCCGCACCUACGGCCGCCGUUCACCGGCGGGUACGGGCCGCCACCUCUUGCGUUUACCUGUUCGCCGCCACCACGGGCCACCACUUCGUCAAAUUAAUUCCUCGCACCCAUGUUAACAUUGAUUACGUGCCCACAAAAACGUUUGUCGUUUGACAAAAAAUUAUGGGUGAAUUUUGUCCUGGCGCCCAACUUAAGAGUUUUAGCCUCCCCGGAAAGACAUUUUAACGGUGCUGCAUGCUGGUCUUCGUGAGGCACGAAAUAAUCAUCCCUUUCUCCAUUUCUAACUUUAUAGAUUUUUUCUAAAUAUGAAGCAUAAAUCCUUGGUUCCUUCACGUCAACACUGAGAGUCAGAGUGAGAGAGGAGUGGCGAGAGUGAAAGAGGAGUGGCGAAUCGGGAAAAGGGAAGUACGAUGCUUAUGAAAAGUGAAAGGUCUUUAUGGGAGGGUGGUGGCGAGAGUGUGUGAGCUCGAGUGUGAGAACAGGGGGAGAGUGGGUGGGGAAGAGCGAGGGGAGGUCUAGGGGUGACAGCAGCCGGAGAGGAGCGGCGGCAGUGGCCGGAGAGGAGCUGAGGGAAAGAGAGGUGGUGGUACGUGGGGCAAAGGAGGGUGGCGCGUGGGGCGUGGCAUCCAGUUUUCGAACUAAAAAAUCCGCGGUCGCUGUUCGAAGACCCGCCGCCCCCGAUCUAGGCGCACGCAGGUACGGCCGAAGCGUCGCCACGAACUACACCUCACCGCGACCUCGUCGCCUCGCCCCGAAAGAAGGAGUGGAGUGUCACGGCAGGAGGAGGUGCUGGUACGUUGGCGUUGUCGCCUCCUCGGCUUAGGGAUCGGUCGCUCGAGUCCAUCGGUACCCAGGUACCCCGCUGCGGUACCUUCCCGGUGGUUGAUGUGGUCGCUCCUCUCCUCUUUCUCUCAUCGGACUACCAGCAGAAGGUGGAGGCGGAUACGGGGGUGGGAGGUGGAGGUGGAUGCGGGGGCGGCCUCUAUCAUGUUACCGGUUCCUUUAUCCGUCCUCCGCGACGAAGGGCCUACCUGUACCUGUACGAAGAGGUUGAGACGAAGAAGGACCCAGCGGUACCUUCUUUCAUCAUUCUUAGAUUCUUUCGGCUUCGGAAGGUCGUGUGACGUUGUUAUCCUUCUCGUGUUCAGCUUGUCCCUGUGUUGAGUGUGUGAUGCCACCUGUCUUUCCAUUGAUGUAACGACUUUAUCAACUACUACCGUUUGGAUCCCGUACUACCCGUGGCAACUUAUAUUGUUUCCACCUAGAGGUAGGAAACAUCGUUGUCGGUAGCGGAGCGUUGUCCUAGAAGCAGGAAACGUCGUUGUCGGCAGCGGAGCGUUGUCGGUAGCUCGCUUCCAAUACAAAGCCUGCGGCUCCAACGCCACAUCAACACUACUAGUGUGUUGACCCAGCUACCUCGAGCAUGCGCUCCUUCUUGACCGUAAAUACAGGAACCACCGUUGCACGCAACCGCCCAGCUACCUCGAACAAGCUACCAAACUAAAAACCAUCUACCUGGAGCAAGCACCCAACGGCUUGACAAAACAAACAACCGAUCCACACACUAUCACCCCAAACCGAGCAAACUGACCACCAGGUACCCGGCUUAUAGCUUACUCAACCGGAACCAAAAAACCCGAACGCCCGACCUAAAACACGCCCGCACACCCUGUGACGUGCUACCGGC
Molecule: ribosomal RNA, 2469 nt
Filed under: Triticum aestivum (bread wheat)
Lineage: Eukaryota; Viridiplantae; Streptophyta; Magnoliopsida; Poales; Poaceae
Description: partial small subunit ribosomal RNA
Source: RNAcentral